CAGUCGCCGCGGGAAUACGAAGGGGGCUAGCGUUGCUCGGAAUGACUGGGCGUAAAGGGCGCGUAGGCGGCGGCCAAAGUCAGGCGUGAAAUUCCCGGGCUCAACCUGGGGGCUGCGUUUGAUACUUGGUUGCUUGAGUGGGGAAGAGGGUCGUGGAAUUCCCAGUGUAGAGGUGAAAUUCGUAGAUAUUGGGAAGAACACCGGUGGCGAAGGCGGCGACCUGGUCCUUUACUGACGCUGAGGCGCGAAAGCGUGGGGAGCAAACAGGAUUAGAUACCCCCGUAGUCCCUGUCUCUUAUAC
RNAcentral lists this ribosomal RNA (301 nucleotides) under uncultured bacterium. RNAcentral's name for it is "partial 16S ribosomal RNA". It matches the Rfam family "Bacterial small subunit ribosomal RNA", at positions 509 to 807 of the family's 1533-position model. The record is from RNAcentral.